UGCUCAGGGUAAAUGAUUUGUGUCUAUAAGAUGCCACGUACAGUCACAAUCUCAGUGAGAAAUGGGCUGUCGCCUCUUCUUCUGCAACUCAGUGCUCGAUAAGACAUCGGGGGAAAGCCAGUCCCUAAUUUGUAUGUGAUGCAAUGAGGAACAAAUUUAAUGUUUUGCCUUUCCCUAGCAGUAUUCUUACUUCUUUGCUUCAUUUACCUCUUUCCUCCUUUACUCUCCCCUUUCACCUCCUCCACCAAAAGAGACUGAGUCUGUCUCAGAUCACUACAUUCAAAUUACUUUAAAUGUUGGCUCAUCCCCAUGAAAUUACAGUGAAAUUAAAUAUAAUCUGUACACGUCCCAGACAUGAUUAUAUUUGAUUUACACACACACACACAAUCAGGCUACCUCCCAUUUGCUGAGGGAGAAGGACCACUUUUUCUGAGUUUUCAUUCACUGAGAGUGAGAGCAAAGUCUCUUAAGCAGAAAUUCGCCUGGCUUCUUGCAUGGAUUUUUAAAUUGGAUUUCUGCUUUGUGUCCACAGAAAUAGACUCCUAUUAGAAGAGGGGAAUUGGAGACAUAGAUAUUCUGCUGAGAUAUUGGUGUCAUCAUAUUUGAGUUGGAAAGGACUUACGACAGCAUAGAGUCGUACCUUUUUAUGGUGUAAGAAUGCCGGUGACUGAGUUAGAAGCAUGCUCCCAAGCUGUCCAUGUACUUGCCAUUCAGAAGCGGACCCUGGAAGCUUCCAAAUUUCUCCAGAAUGCGUUCUACAUUCACCUUCGGCAGAUACCCAGCUUUCCCUGCACCAUUUGUUGAAAAGACUAUUCUUUCCAUGGAGUGUUGUUGGCACCCUUGUGGAAAACUGACUGUAAAUAUAAGGAGACUGAGAAUUAAGUCUUCUCUCUUUUGGGUGGAGCUCAUUAUCAAUGACGGGAAGUUGUAAGGAAAAAGAUAUUGAUUCAUCCUGAGAAAACAUUUUUCUGAGAGUCAGCAGUGAAGAAGGUGGACACUGAAGAAGAUCCAUCCCUUUUCUCUGCUCUUCCGGUCCAUCUGUCUCCCUCCACUUUUCCCCUCCUCUCCUCCCCCUCCCAUCUUCUUCCUCCCUCACUGCCCCACCUUCUCUCGCAGAACCCAGAGUGGAUCGCUGGCCCUCCUGCGCAUGGGCAGUCGGUGCCAGCUGGACCGCGGGUUGGAAGCUCCAGCACCGAGCCGGGGAUCGGCCCCAAAGUCUUCUUAGCU
Molecule: long non-coding RNA, 1227 nt
Organism: Camelus dromedarius (Arabian camel)
Lineage: Eukaryota; Metazoa; Chordata; Mammalia; Artiodactyla; Camelidae
Exons: 5
Source: RefSeq, a predicted model, not a curated record